AAAAAAAAACCAGAAAAGAAAUACG
RNAcentral lists this ribosomal RNA (25 nucleotides) under Stereophaedusa stereoma. RNAcentral's name for it is "Phaedusa stereoma partial 5.8S rRNA". Lineage: Eukaryota; Metazoa; Mollusca; Gastropoda; Stylommatophora; Clausiliidae. The record is from RNAcentral.